RNAcentral lists this ribosomal RNA (425 nucleotides) under uncultured bacterium. RNAcentral's name for it is "partial 16S ribosomal RNA". It matches the Rfam family "Bacterial small subunit ribosomal RNA", at positions 354 to 796 of the family's 1533-position model. The record is from RNAcentral.
GUAGGGAAUCUUGCGCAAUGGGCGAAAGCCUGACGCAGCCAUGCCGCGUGAAUGAUGAAGGUCUUAGGAUUGUAAAAUUCUUUCACCGGGGACGAUAAUGACGGUACCCGGAGAAGAAGCUCCGGCUAACUUCGUGCCAGCAGCCGCGGUAAUACGAAGGGGGCUAGCGUUGCUCGGAAUUACUGGGCGUAAAGGGCGCGUAGGCGGAUAUUUAAGUCGGGGGUGAAAGCCCGGGGCUCAACCUCGGAAUAGCCUUCGAUACUGGAUAUCUUGAGUACGGGAGAGGUGUGUGGAACUCCGAGUGUAGAGGUGAAAUUCGUAGAUAUUCGGAAGAACACCAGUGGCGAAGGCGACACACUGGCCCGUUACUGACGCUGAGGCGCGAAAGCGUGGGGAGCAAACAGGAUUAGAUACCCUUGUAGUCC